AGCAGUAAACAGAUAUGGGCUCGAAACUUAAAGAAUUUGGCGGUAUCUAAGUCUGGUUAGAGGAACCUGUGCUGUAAACGAUAAACCACGAAUAUCUUACUUUAUCUUGGAUGUGCAGUACGUAUACCGCCAUUAUUCGAUAAUUUCAAAAGAAGUUUAUCAAGAUAGAUUUUGGAUCUAGGAUAUUAGGUCAAGGUGCGGCUAAUGAUGAAGAAGACAUGGGUUACAUUGGUAUUGGUAAUGCGGAUUGAUUCAGUAAAUUGGGUCUUGUAAGUGGGAUUUAAUGGUAAAAGAAGUGAAUUAUGUUUUUUUGAUAGAAGCUCUUGGAUAUGUACACA
RNAcentral lists this ribosomal RNA (338 nucleotides) under Amphibetaeus jousseaumei. Its description in RNAcentral is "partial small subunit ribosomal RNA". Lineage: Eukaryota; Metazoa; Arthropoda; Malacostraca; Decapoda; Alpheidae. The record is from RNAcentral.